Molecule: ribosomal RNA, 292 nt
Filed under: uncultured Alphaproteobacteria bacterium
Lineage: Bacteria; Pseudomonadati; Pseudomonadota; Alphaproteobacteria
Description: partial 16S ribosomal RNA
Source: RNAcentral
GGACUACCGGGGUAUCUAAUCCUGUUUGCUCCCCACGCUUUCGCGCCUCAGCGUCAGUAAUGGCCCAGUGUGUCGCCUUCGCCACUGGUGUUCUUCCGAAUAUCUACGAAUUUCACCUCUACACUCGGAGUUCCACACACCUCUGCCAUACUCAAGGCCGCCAGUAUUAAAGGCAAUUCCAGGGUUGAGCCCUGGGCUUUCACCUCUAACUAAACGACCCGCCUACGCGCCCUUUACGCCCAGUAAUUCCGAGCAACGCUAGCCCCCUUCGUAUUACCGCGGCGGCUGGCAC